CAUCGAUGAAGAACGCAGCGAAAUGCGAUAAGUAAUGUGAAUUGCAGAAUUCAGUGAAUCAUCGAAUCUUUGAACGCAUCUUGCGCUCCUUGGUAUUCCGAGGAGCAUGCCUGUUUGAGUGUCAU
This 125-nucleotide ribosomal RNA is filed under the name Agaricus bisporus (cultivated mushroom). RNAcentral describes it as "5.8S ribosomal RNA". It matches the Rfam family "5.8S ribosomal RNA", at positions 31 to 154 of the family's 154-position model. From Rfam's summary of the family: 5.8S ribosomal RNA (5.8S rRNA) is a component of the large subunit of the eukaryotic ribosome. It is transcribed by RNA polymerase I as part of the 45S precursor that also contains 18S and 28S rRNA. Functionally, it is thought that 5.8S rRNA may be involved in ribosome translocation. The record is from RNAcentral. Lineage: Eukaryota; Fungi; Basidiomycota; Agaricomycetes; Agaricales; Agaricaceae. RNAcentral also lists the same sequence under 27 other names.